Non-coding RNA from Odocoileus virginianus texanus, 4121 nucleotides. The record is from RefSeq and is a predicted model, not a curated record. Lineage: Eukaryota; Metazoa; Chordata; Mammalia; Artiodactyla; Cervidae.
AAAAAAAAAAAGAGCUAAGGGCUUAAAACACUAGAACCGUACAGUACUCUUACUCCCUCGGUGAGAAAUGCUACAAGAAGAUUCAGGAUCGACACCGGCCUCGUGUGCUGGGAGAUCGCUGUGUGUGAUUCAUCACCUGGUGGAAACCGGCUCCCUCCACCUAGCGAAGUCCAGCGAGAGUUCCUUUCCUCUGCCCUCCUCGGGCCUCAUAGGUGCUUUAUUGUUGAGGUCUAAAAGCCUGCCAGCAAGUUCUGUGCCUCCCCACCCAGGGUCCAUGCACAGAAAGUGGCUUGUGCAGCUGCUCUGGAUUUGAGUCCUUGAAUGUGUAUUUAGAGAGGCGGGGCUCUCCUGGGAGGAGGCCAGUGCCUGGGAGGGGCUCUGCCCAGGAAAUUCUGCUCCCCCGGGCCGCGCUGCUCUGCCCGGACUCCCAGCAGCUUUGCUUGAUUUCUUUGUUCAUUUAAUGGCUGAAUUUCAGGGCCAUUCCGGAUCCACCAGGUUCCUGCAACCCUUGCAUUCAUGACCUUACACAGCACAGUUAAUUCCAAAUUAUACAAGCAAAUUUAUUUGACCUAAUAAUUUGGUCAUACAUCUGCCUAUUGUAAACGAGGUUAGGAAAAUUGUACUAAUUUUUCUGUUUUUCCUGCCUGUUCUGAAGGAAGCCAGAGGUAAACUUUUUUUUUUUAAGUGUUUUAGAUAUCCCCCAAAAGAUUAGCAUCUUGUAAAAGAGACCCUUCAAUGACUUGUAGUUGAUGCUUUAGUUCUUUUAUUUUGUUAACAAAAAUGACAAUAACAUCUAAUGUGUAGAGCAUGUACUGUGGAUCAGGCAAUGUAUCUAGUGCUUUCUGUAUAUCACUUUAUAUAAAUCUCACAUCAACCCUUCAAGUAGAUAUAAUCCUUAUUUUAUACAUAAGAAAACUGAUACUUAGACUAAAAUAGCCAACUCAAGGUCACACUGAACUUGAGUUAAGGGUUGGAGUUAGGAAGUAGACUUGAGACUGCUGGACUUCCAAAUCCAAAAUCUUAUCCAUUGCCAUUUGUGUGCCACAUGCCACCAUUAAUAAGAUUAACUAUUCCAACACAAAUGAUCUGACACAUGGAGAAAGUUUUGUACAAUGUUUAGGAACUAAGGGAAUUAGGAUGUUUGCAGUUCAGCUGCUAGUCUGGAUUUAUCUUAUACCGAGGUGAAAACAGUUUGCAGAAUUCAGAGUGCAUUUUGAAUUGCAUUGUAUUCCAAAAGCCACUUCUGCAUUCUGCGAAUAAUGUUCAGAAGUCAGAGAGCAAGGGAAAUAAAGGAAGAGUUCUGGCCCCAACUUUAAAAUGAGUGGCCAUUGGGGUCAUAAAGGUUCUUGGGCCCUUUGCUUUCAAAAGCAUGAAAAAAAACAAAACAAAACUACUUCAUCUGUAGGAAUUAUUAAAUCUGAGUUCUUGAAGUGGUUGAAAGAAAUGAGCUCUUAUAGGAAGCACUGCUCCCACAAGGAAAAGCUUGAGAACAUUAAAGUGCUGACCAAGGAGCUUCCACCUGCUUCACCUGAGCUGGCGGGCAGAUGUUGCAGGGUAUCAAAUGUGGAGAAAGCUGACAUCAAUCCAAGGGUUCCCGUCUUUCACCAAGUCACAUCACUGAAGUCUCGCCAUCAACAGGAAAGAGCUCACCUGCUCUUUGCCAUCUGCCCUUCCCCCAACUCAUUCACAGCUGUGCAGAUACUUGUACUCAAAGAGAAAUGAUCUCUUUAACAAUGGUUGGCACAUCCAUGAACUGUGAAUUUGAACCUUGAAAUGGUUCCCAUAGACAGUCCCCUUGCUGAUGAAGAGCAGAUACUAGAUGAAGGUCCUUGGAGCUCUUACACUGGCUCAGGCAGUUAUUGGUCUGGGAUGCUGGGAUGUAAUGUUAUUCCGGGCAUCGAUAACAAUACAGUUCCCUUUCAGCUCUGGCAACUGGUGCCGCACAAUCUCUAAUUGAAUUCCCCUCUAGUUGAGCUUAUGGGAAGAAUUCCAAGAUUUCUUGAUGCUCACUUGUACAUUGAACCCACAUUAGUAUUGCAGGGCAUGUAUUAUCAGACGGGAACCCUGGAGAUGGAACAGGCCUGUUCUAGUAAGUGGUUUAGAGGGGGCGAUGCUCCUCUGGUGAGUAAACAUGGAGGUCUGUUAGAGCUCUAUCGUGGGACCUCCUCUUCAGGCAAACUUGGAAGUAUUUCCCAGUGGGGUCCCAGUAUCUCCAAGGUAGCCCCCGAUGACACAAGAUGACAUCAGCCUGGGGAAUACUGGCCUGAGUCUCAGAAAAAGAAGCUGCGACCAACAGGCAAACCAAUUUGUUAGCAGGGAAGAGAAAGAGGGCAAAUAUCCAAAGUCUUCCUUCUCCUAAAAACCUGAAAACAGCACUUGGUCUCUCUGAACUUCUCUGCUUCUGACAUUAGCAGUGUUUCUUCUUUACACCCCAUCUAAACCAACUCAUAUGGCUUUAAUCCCACACCAGGCCAGGCCAGGAAGUUCAGCCCUUUCCUUCCUGAACCCUGAGGGGCCCCUUCCCUUUCUCUGGCGAUGGUCCACCCUCCUUUAUCAUUUAUUACUUCCCUCCUGACUCUGUCUGGCCCACAUGAGCGGCUGUGCCUGUUUCUGCUGGCCCUGCCCACUCUCUGUGAGCCCUGUGGCCAGAGAUGGAAAUGAGGUUUUCCUGCACUUGGAAGAAACAGCACACAUGAGAAGCAGUUGAGGUUCCAGUGGGGGUCAAAUUGGGUAGAGAGAAUUACACCAGGAAAAGAGCUGCUAAUUUAGCAUAGGACAGUACAGUUUUAUGCUUAGUUCUUUUAAAUUUUUAUUAUGAAAAUAUUCAAUAGAUAACACUUGCAGGGAAAAGUAUAAUGAAGCCUUCUAUCCUCCACACCCAGGUAAACUUAGUUGAAAACGUGCUAAGAUUGAAUCCGAAUGGUCUACGUUUCAACUACUGUUCUUUUGGAUAUGUGGUGGGGAGAGGUGCUGGGAACACAAGAUUCCGGAGUGCCUCUGAUAAUGCCUUUUAAUUCCACUUCCAGAAAUAUGAGAUUAAACCCACAUGGCUAGAAAGCAACCACAAGUGAAAAAGUGAAACCUGGCCUAGACAUCACGAGGGCUAGGUCCCAUCAUUGAUUCACAUUGAUCACCUAUAGACCAAUGUUUUUCAGGUGAUACUUAACUGAGUGUGUUUUCAGCAAAAUAAUGGCCCCAAAGAUGUUGGCCCCUAGUCCUCCAAACUUAUGAAUAUAUUACCUUACAUGUUAUAUUACCUUUGCAGACAUAGUUAAGGUUAUGCACCGCAUCAUGAGGUGAGUAUCUUGGAUUAUCUGGAUGGGCCCAAUAUUAUCACAUCAUUAACAGUAGGAUAAGAAAGAAAGAGGAUAAGAGAGAUGACAGCAUAAGAAGGAUCCAACACCCUGUGGCUUGUUCUGAGAUGUGGGGAGCUAUUGCAGUGACCAGAGAGAAGCCUCUCCAAGUUAAGGGUAGCCCCAGCAGGCAGCCAGCAAAGAAACUGGAACCUCUGUCCUAUAACCACAGGAACUGGAUUCUGCCAACAACCUGAAUGAGCAAGAAGACAGCUUCUCCCCUGGAGCCUUCAACAAGGAACACAGUCCCACCAACAAUGUGUUUUUAUCUGGACUUUUCUGAGGGGCCAUGGGCAGGCUGAACUGUCAAAGAAAUGUGCUAAAAGUACCUGAUUUGAGGACCGGCAUUCAGCCAAAUUGUCAAGCAAGAUGUUUGCCUUAAGUGCCUUCACGUCCUGUCUUGGAACAUCUUGAACUCUUCCCUCCUAAUCCUUUCAAGUUUUCUCCUGGAUCUUGCUGUCUAAUCUUCCACCCAUGACUGCUGGGACUUCUGUUUCUGUUAGAGAAAAAAAACCCAGGUGCUCACCCUCCAGAUAUCCCUCCAUUUCUCCCAGUCUACCUUCCCACAUUCCUCUUCCCAUAUCCCCUUCUCGACUUUUCACCAGCUAUUUCACUGGAAAGAAACUUGAGAACGUCAUCCACACUAAGGGAUUCAUGGAGGCUGAUGGUUUAAUGUGCUAUCUCCUUCAGAUGACAUGGUUAUUUUAAAAGGCGUUUCCUAGAAGUAUGUCUUUAUCCAAAGUAAUGAAAUCCAUGUGGUGAAAUUUU